UUUUUCUGGCAUUCCACACUUCCAUUAAGGGGGGGAAUUGAGCAGAGGAAGUGAGAGAGAGGACGGAUUGAAUUACUCUUUGUGUUGAAUAGAAGUGUGUGCAGCCAGAAGCAGAGAAAAAAGAACCGUGUUAAAAGCGGUGUGUGUUUAUCAGAAGACAAAGAUUUUCAAAUCACAAAGACUGUUCCAAGAUUAUAUUCUACAACAGACAAAAGCACGUGUUAUACAGAAAGCAGCACAAGAU
This is a non-coding RNA of Pelobates cultripes (western spadefoot toad), 244 nucleotides long. Lineage: Eukaryota; Metazoa; Chordata; Amphibia; Anura; Pelobatidae. The record is from the annotation of a GenBank genome assembly.